GGUGAACGCUGGCGGCGUGCCUAACACAUGCAAGUCGAGCGGUGCAGUUUGAAGCUUCGGUGGAAAGCUGCAUAGCGGCGGACGGGUGAGGAAAACGUAGGAACGUGCCCCUUGGAGUUGGAUAGCCACGGGAAACUGUGGGUAAACCGACAUAGACUCGAGAGAGUAAAGGCCGAAAGGCGCCAAGGGAGCGGCCUGCGGCCCAUCAGGUAGUUGGUAGUGUAAAGGACUACCAAGCCCGACGACGGGUAGCCGGUCUGAGAGGAUGGCCGGCCACAAGGGCACUGAGAGACGGGCCCUACUCCUACGGGAGGCAGCAGUGGGGGAUUUUGGACAAUGGGCGAAAGCCUGAUCCAGCGACGCCGCGUGGAGGACGAAGCCCUUCGGGUGUAAACCCUUUUCUCAGGAAAAGGAUAGAUGGUACCUGAGGAAUAAGCCCGGCUAACUACGUGCCAGCAGCCCGGGUAAACACGAGAGUA
RNAcentral lists this ribosomal RNA (479 nucleotides) under uncultured bacterium. Its description in RNAcentral is "bacterial SSU rRNA". It matches the Rfam family "Bacterial small subunit ribosomal RNA", at positions 28 to 533 of the family's 1533-position model. The record is from RNAcentral.